This 1567-nucleotide ribosomal RNA is filed under the name Siphonops annulatus. Its description in RNAcentral is "16S ribosomal RNA". It matches the Rfam family "Bacterial large subunit ribosomal RNA". The record is from RNAcentral. Lineage: Eukaryota; Metazoa; Chordata; Amphibia; Gymnophiona; Siphonopidae.
ACAACAAUGUUAGCUUUAAAUAUUAUACUUAUAACAUUAACUAAAACAUUUUUAUAAAUUAGUAUAGGCGAUAGAAAAUAUCAUAUUAGCAAUACAAAAAGUACCGUAAGGGAAAACUGAAAAAGAAAUUAAACAAACCAUUAAAGUAUAAAAAAGCAAGAAUUAACACCUGUACCUUUUGCAUCAUGAUCUAGCCAGUCCACAAGGACAAAUAGACCUUAAGUCCUAAUUCCCGAAACUAGACGAGCUAUUUAAAAGCAGCUUUAUUAAGAGCUAAUCCGUCCCUGUUGCAAAAGUGUGGAAAGACUUUUAAAUAGCGGCGACAUACCUAUCGAGCCUAGUGAUAGCUGGUUGCUCAAUAAACGAGUUUUAGCUCCCCCUUAAACCUUAUUACAAUACACAACAAUAAUAAUAAAAAUCUAAGAGAAAUUCAAAAGAGGGACAGCCCUUUUGAAAAAGGAUACAACCUACAAUAAUGGGUAAUGAUUACACUAUCUAAAGGCUCAUAACCCUAGUAGGCCUAAAAGCAGCCAUCCAUAAAGAAAGCGUUACAGCUCAUACAUUACUAAAACCCAUUAAUACUAAUAUUUUUUUCAAAACCCUUAUUAAUCAAACUGAGCUCCACUAUAAACAUAUAGCCGAACUAAUACUAGAACUAGUAAUAAGAAACCCCAAUUUUCUCUCCGCACCCUCGUAAAUCAGAACGAAUUAAUCACUGAUAUUCACCAGUAAAUAAUAUAAAGUAAACUAGAAAUCACAUUAAACCACUGUUAACCCAACACAGGAGUGCAACAAGAAAGACUAAAAGAUAGAAAAGGAACUCGGCAACCUUUUAAAACUUCGCCUGUUUACCAAAAACAUCACCUCUAGCUAAACAACCAUGUAUUAGAGGCACUGCCUGCCCACUGAUAUUCUUUUAACGGCCGCGGUAUUCUGACCGUGCAAAGGUAGCAUAAUCACUUGUCUUUUAAAUAAAGACUAGUAUGAAUGGCAAGACGAAAGUUUAACUGUCUCCUUUAUCUAGUCAAUGAAACUGAUCUCCUGGUACAAAAGCCAGGAUAAUACAAUUAGACGAGAAGACCCUAUGGAACUUAAAACACGCCUCCACCCACACCAGUUAAAAUAUUUGAUACAUUGGACCGCUGUUUUUGGUUGGGGCAACCACGGAGAAAAAUAAUCCUCCUAGAAACUAAAAUUAAGUAAUACAAGACAAAAUACCAAUACCAUGAACAUGAUCCAUAUAUAUGAUCAACGAACCAAGCUACCCUAGGGAUAACAGCGCUAUCUUCUCCAAGAGUCCAUAUCCACGAGAAGGUUUACGACCUCGAUGUUGGAUCAGGAUACCCAGACGGCGCAGCCGCCGUCAAAGGUUUGUUUGUUCAACAAAUAAUAUCCUACGUGAUCUGAGUUCAGACCGGAGCAAUCCAGGUCAGUUUCUAUCUAUUAACAUUUUUCUUCAGUACGAAAGGACAAAGAAAACAGGACCAAUACCAAACGCACGUCCUACAAUUAAUUAUGAAAUCAACUAAAUAAUUAUUGUACAUAUUCUCCUCUAGAAAUAGAGAUA